This 289-nucleotide ribosomal RNA is filed under the name uncultured bacterium. RNAcentral's name for it is "partial 16S ribosomal RNA". It matches the Rfam family "Bacterial small subunit ribosomal RNA", at positions 773 to 1060 of the family's 1533-position model. The record is from RNAcentral.
GUGGAUUAGAUACCCGGGUAGUCCACGCUGUAAACGAUGAAUACUAGGUGUGGGGGACGUAGGUCUUCCGUGCCGCAGUUAACACAAUAAGUAUUCCACCUGGGGAGUACGGCCGCAAGGUUGAAACUCAAAGGAAUUGACGGGAGCCCGCACAAGCAGUGGAGUAUGUGGUUUAAUUCGACGCAACGCGAAGAACCUUACCGGAGCUUGACAUCCUGGGAAAGCCGAGUAAUGUUGGCUGUGCCCUUCGGGGAAUCCAGAGACAGGUGGUGCACGGUUGUCGACAGCU